This 1711-nucleotide long non-coding RNA is filed under the name Rattus norvegicus (Norway rat). RNAcentral's name for it is "long non-coding RNA NONRATT009017". Lineage: Eukaryota; Metazoa; Chordata; Mammalia; Rodentia; Muridae. The record is from RNAcentral.
CACUCCAGUUUUGUUUUUGCAUGAAAUUGUAUCUCAGUCUAAGGUCUCAUGCUGUUGCUGCUACUGUCUUACUAUUAUACAACUUUCAGAAGUAAUUUUACAACCUUUGGGAGUCAUGGGCCCAUUGUUCAUUUGUGCAUCAAGUGUCAUCUUCUUUUGGUUUUUGGUUUUCCCUAGCAGUGAAGGCUAUAUGAGAUACACUGAUUCUAGGUACAUUGUUAACUUUCUAGGAGAUAAAUCAAGAACUAAUUAGACUAAGAAGAUUUAGUUUCUAUUUCUGAACAAGCAGUUGUUAAAGGGUGGUGGUGUGUGUAUGUAAGAGUUUAGCAGCGCAUGUCUGACCAGCACAUGAAGUGUGUAUCACUGACAUUUGGCUGGAAAUCCUUAGGAAACAUUGAGAGGACUGAAGGGCCGAUUUGAGAUACACAUAGCUUUUUAAUUCCUGCUGGAUAUUGUGGAGGAAGCCCAGUGCCACCUAUGGACACCCAGAUUUCAAGGGCAGAUGGAGACCGUUCAACCAAGCACUGAAGGUGCAGAGUCACCUAGAAAGGCUUAGGGUCUACUUUGUACCAGAGAGUAUUUCCCCUGGGCUUGGCAACCUUUUCCCUUUCUUGACAUUUAUCACCUCUGAUGGCUGAAGAAUGUAGACAGUACAGUGAUCCUGCUGUCACCAAAAUCCAUACACCAAGGUGGACGGGUGUUUGCCUUACCAGUUUUGAAGUUGUUACUUUCAGUUAUAGGUAAAUUAGCUUUUUCUCAGAUGUUAAAACUUUGAAUGUCCUUUAUGGUUUUGUUUCUAUUACGGUAGUAUUUAUUUUUUAGUGGUAAGAAUUGUGUUGUCAUGUUAGCAAGCGCAGCUCCAAUUCGCAGCUCCAAUUCACAGGUCAUUGCCUGUGGUUUCUUUCCACCCAUGUGCAAGGAAUGUACACACCCAUUAGAAUCAUGCACUUUUCUCCUAGGUAAGAAGAAAUGGUAAGGCUCUGGGAUUGUAUCUGUGGUUAGAAUCUGGUUAGAGCCUUUGGGAGAGGAGAUGCUGUAAUUUGACCCCUUGGAGCUGAAAUGAGAAAAUCCCAAUACCCAAUGCCAAGGGGUUGGUAGAGCAAGUGGAUAUGAGAGUAUAGCCUAGCAUAAAGUAAUGGAGAGAGCGGAGACCCGGUGACGAUGAGAAAUGCACUCUCCUCAGCAAAGUGAACACAUCACAACCAUUCACACAGUAGCAAGGAAAGGAUAAGAAGAAGGUGAUGUGUUUAUUCUUAUCAAGGUACAUUCAUUACUGAAUCAAGCCAUCAGGGAAAACAACAAAACAAAACACCUCUAGCUUUUAUUUUUCUGUACAUACUCAUGUCUCCCAACCCAAACAUUUCUCACUGAGAGGGGACAUGUAUGCAAACCUCAUCUUUCUCCUUCAUUAAUGAUGAUCUUCAGAUUAAACCCUUUGGUGCUAGGAGCUGACACUUUCCAAAGCAGACUAUGAAGUCCAAGGAUCAAAGCCUUUCUUGCAGCAAGCAAGAGGGCAACUGCUGCUCCAAGGAGUGAUUACGGAAAUGGAUUCCAGCUACUGACUGGCAGCUCCCAAAUGGAAGACGACAGUGUGACCUAGCAGUGUCACUGCAGUGUGGGUGUGCGUAGGAAGUCAUGCUCUCAUGCAGAUGUCUUGGCCUCUGGGCUCGGACUUAGGGAAGCAGAGCCGCUGCUGGCGGUGGCUGGCCGC